RNAcentral lists this ribosomal RNA (492 nucleotides) under uncultured bacterium. RNAcentral describes it as "partial 16S ribosomal RNA". It matches the Rfam family "Bacterial small subunit ribosomal RNA", at positions 29 to 507 of the family's 1533-position model. The record is from RNAcentral.
AGUGAACGCUGGCGGUAGGCCUAACACAUGCAAGUCGAACGGCAGCACAGUAAGAGCUUGCUCUUACGGGUGGCGAGUGGCGGACGGGUGAGGAAUACAUCGGAAUCUACUUUUUCGUGGGGGAUAACGUAGGGAAACUUACGCUAAUACCGCAUACGACCUACGGGUGAAAUCAGGGGAUCUUCGGACCUUUCGCGAUUGAAUGAGCCGAUGUCGGAUUAGCUAGUUGGCUGGGUAAAGGCCCACCAAGGCGACGAUCCGUAGCUGGUCUGAGAGGAUGAUCAGCCACACUGGAAGUGAGACACGGUCCAGACUCCUACGGGAGGCAGCAGUGGGGAAUAUUGGACAAUGGGCGAAAGCCUGAUACAGCCAUACCGCGUGGGUGAAGAAGGCCUUCGGGUUGUAAAGCCCUUUUGUUGGGAAAGAAAAGCAGCAGGUUAAUACCCAGCUGUUCUGACGGUACCCAAAGAAUAAGCACCGGCUAACUUCGUG